AGCAAAGAAUAGGGAGACCACUGAGGAGGGUGAUCAUUGUUCGAGUGAGACGAGUCCCGGGUUGUACGGAGUCAGCAUCCCUGUCCUGGACACGGCACGUGUAGAGCUGCGUGGUGGGUGAGGUGGCGCGGCCGCGUA
This is a non-coding RNA of Vicugna pacos (alpaca), 138 nucleotides long. The record is from RefSeq and is a predicted model, not a curated record. Lineage: Eukaryota; Metazoa; Chordata; Mammalia; Artiodactyla; Camelidae.